This 67-nucleotide transfer RNA is filed under the name Onomarchus uninotatus. RNAcentral describes it as "tRNA-Met". The record is from RNAcentral. Lineage: Eukaryota; Metazoa; Arthropoda; Insecta; Orthoptera; Tettigoniidae.
AAAUAGGUAAGCUAAAGAUUAAGCUAAUGGGUUCAUACCCCAUCUAUAGGAAAUUUCCUCCUCUUUA